Molecule: ribosomal RNA, 437 nt
Rfam family: Bacterial small subunit ribosomal RNA
ACGGGAGGCAGCAGUGGGGAAUAUUGGGCAAUGGCCGAAAGCCUGACCUAGCAACGCCGCGUGAAGGAAGAAGGUCUUCGGAUUGUAAACUUCUUUUAUAAGGGACGAAGAAAGUGACGGUACCUUAUGAAUAAGCCACGGCUAACUACGUGCCAGCAGCCGCGGUAAUACGUAGGUGGCAAGCGUUAUCCGGAUUUACUGGGUGUAAAGGGCGCGUAGGCGGGGAUGCAAGUCAGAUGUGAAAUCCAUGGGCUUAACCCAUGAACUGCAUUUGAAACUGUAUCUCUUGAGUGCUGGAGAGGUAGACGGAAUUCCUUGUGUAGCGGUGAAAUGCGUAGAUAUAAGGAAGAACACCAGUGGCGAAGGCGGUCUACUGGACAGUAACUGACGCUGAGGCGCGAAAGCGUGGGGAGCAAACAGGAUUAGAUACCCUGGUA